Molecule: ribosomal RNA, 301 nt
Filed under: uncultured bacterium
Lineage: Bacteria
Description: partial 16S ribosomal RNA
Rfam family: Bacterial small subunit ribosomal RNA
Source: RNAcentral
CAGUAGCCACGGUAAUACGAGGGGGGCAAGCGUUGUUCGGAAUUAUUGGGCGUAAAGGGUGCGUAGGCGGUUUGGCAAGUUUGGUGUGAAAUCUUCGGGCUCAACUCGAAGUCUGCAUCGAAAACUGCCGGGCUUGAGUAUGGGAGAGGUGAGUGGAAUUUCCGGUGUAGCGGUGAAAUGCGUAGAUAUCGGAAGGAACACCUGUGGCGAAAGCGGCUCACUGGACCAUAACUGACGCUGAUGCACGAAAGCUAGGGGAGCAAACAGGAUUAGAUACCCGCGUAGUCCCUGUCUCUUAUAC